CAGUAGCCGCGGGAAAACGUAGGGCGCGAGCGUUGUCCGGAAUUAUUGGGCGUAAAGGGCUCGCAGGCGGUUUCUUAAGUCUGAUGUGAAAGCCCCCGGCUCAACCGGGGAGGGUCAUUGGAAACUGGGAAACUUGAGUGCAGAAGAGGAGAGUGGAAUUCCACGUGUAGCGGUGAAAUGCGUAGAGAUGUGGAGGAACACCAGUGGCGAAGGCGACUCUCUGGUCUGUAACUGACGCUGAGGAGCGAAAGCGUGGGGAGCGAACAGGAUUAGAUACCCGGGUAGUCCCUGUCUCUUAUAC
RNAcentral lists this ribosomal RNA (301 nucleotides) under uncultured bacterium. Its description in RNAcentral is "partial 16S ribosomal RNA". It matches the Rfam family "Bacterial small subunit ribosomal RNA", at positions 509 to 807 of the family's 1533-position model. The record is from RNAcentral.